Long non-coding RNA from Vidua chalybeata, 214 nucleotides. RefSeq lists it as uncharacterized. The transcript is spliced from 3 exons. Lineage: Eukaryota; Metazoa; Chordata; Aves; Passeriformes; Viduidae. The record is from RefSeq and is a predicted model, not a curated record.
GGAACACAGAGCCCAUGGCUUGUGUGACUUAGGCACAGGUCAAGGCUUCACAAGGCACCACCAAACAGGAUCCAGAGAGAAAAGCCACUCUGGGCUUCAUGUCAUGUCACAGAAGAAAAGGACCCAGUCUUGUAAAAGGCACCAGCACACCAUGGGAUUACCUCCCUCAUGUUCCAUUUCAAGCUUUUCCUGAUUGCUGGGACACUGCAGUGGA